RNAcentral lists this unclassified non-coding RNA (340 nucleotides) under soil metagenome. Its description in RNAcentral is "partial contains 5.8S ribosomal RNA, internal transcribed spacer 2, and large subunit ribosomal RNA". The stretch from base 1 to 120 matches the Rfam family "5.8S ribosomal RNA", at positions 35 to 154 of the family's 154-position model. The record is from RNAcentral.
GAUGAAGAACGUAGUGAAAUGCGAUAAGUAGUGUGAAUUGCAGAAUUCAGUGAAUCAUCGAAUCUUUGAACGCACAUUGCGCCCUUUGGUAUUCCAAAGGGCAUGCCUGUUCGAGCGUCAUUUGUACCCUCAAGCUUUGCUUGGUGUUGGGCGUCUUGUCUCUAGCUUUGCUGGAGACUCGCCUUAAAGUAAUUGGCAGCCGGCCUACUGGUUUCGGAGCGCAGCACAAGUCGCACUCUCUAUCAGCAAAGGUCUAGCAUCCAUUAAGCCUUUUUUCAACUUUUGACCUCGGAUCAGGUAGGGAUACCCGCUGAACUUAAGCAUAUCAAUAAGCGGAGGA